ACUUGUUCGUUCAACAAUUAAAUAUUGUAAUGUCGUUGCUGGAUGCUUUUUUUCUACUAUUACUCCUUAGAUUAACAUGUGUGAUUGUUGUGAUAUUUAUUAGAGUGGAAUUGUAAUUGUGUAUACAACUGCUGGAACUUAAAUCAUUUGCUUCAAUUCGAUCGAUUGCUUUACUCAGAAGAGGGCGUAUUAUGCUUUUUUUAAACAAACAGAAUUCAUCCUAGUAUUGCAAUUUAAAUAUAAAUGGGUGAUUAUACUGCAAGACUUUCAAUUCGGAAUUUUCUCAUUGUGUUAGUGGUGAAAACAUCAUUACUCAGUCUGGUGAAUGCAAAGAUAUCUACACCUUUACAAUUCGAGAACAAUACACAAAGUUUUCAUUUGACAGCUGAUGCACCGAAAGCUAUUGCAUGGAUAAAUCCAUUUUAUAUGGACGCGACCGUGUUUUUCAACAACGUUGAGGUGGGAACCUGCGAUGUGUACAGAGGGCACAGCUAUGUCUUGAGUGAUGAAAUUCUAUCUCGUGUUUCAAUAAAUAUCACAAAUGGACAUUGCCAAUUAAACAUUUUCCGUACUUCUUGUGAGGACAGAUCUAUUGCGGUUAAACUUACAGGGGCAUCUCAUGUAAUUAACGCUUCUCUUAUUGUUGACGGAUGCGACUCCAAACCAGACCACACCUCUAUAGGUGGCAGGAUCACCGGUAGUGUCAAAGAGAGCAUUGUUUUCGGUUGUGUCAUUGGUAUUUACAAUGUUAGUGAAACGCUGUUACCAUUUUCGUGCUUUUUUCAGCACGUUUUGAAUUUGUUCUUUGCAAUGUGCAAUUCUAUAUCCGAGGUCGUUUGGAUUUUUUUUCAAGAUUUUAAUAUAUAUGUUUUUCCCACGUUUAUAUAUAGAUGCUUGGCUUGUAAAACAUGUAAAUAAUUAUGAGUGAAAUUAAUGUUUCUAUAACAAUGGCGACUUUGUACUUUUAUCAUUUGUAUUUGUUCGCAAAUUUAUUCAUUCGUGUAUAUUUGUUAACUAUAUAUAUAUGCUCAUUUUCAAAUGUGAGGGCUAUGAACCUGUAUAGGCUUUAUAGAUAAAUAAAUGUAUGUUGUUGUUGUUGUAUACUCACAUAUAUAUAAAAAAAAAAUUUCAUUUUCAUAUGUGAGCGUUAUGAACUUGUAUAUGCUUUAUUGAUGAAUACAUGUUGUUGUUUGUUGUAUUCUUGCAUAUAUUAAAUUAAUGCUCAUUUUCAUAUGUGAGGGCUAUGAACUCGUAUUAGCUUCAUUGAUGAAUUGAUGUUGUUGUUGUACAUAUCUCAUAACAUACACAAAAACAAUUGUAUUAUAAUAUGACGAAACAAUGCAGUAUGUAAUUUACUGAAAUGUUUAAAGUAAUUUAUUUAAAAUAUUCCACGUAGAUAAGAUUCUUAAAAUUGUAAUUACAGACACACCCACAUAUAACAUUCGUAUUCACAAAUGUUAGUGAAAAUUCUUCCAAUCGUCUGUCUUGUAAGUAAUUAGUAAAUAUAAGAUGUGCAGUUGCAAUAUCAGAUGCAAUUAUGUAUUCCCUUCAUAACUAACCAUGUUAACCAGUUCAUAACACUAUCGUCCAAUUUCUAUCUUCUACCAUUACUUAUAAAUUGUAUAAUGCAUAUAUAAUGUAGGCUAUGAGCUUGUAUAAGCUUUACUGCUGAAUAAAUGUUGUUGUUGU
Molecule: long non-coding RNA, 1689 nt
Organism: Dreissena polymorpha
Lineage: Eukaryota; Metazoa; Mollusca; Bivalvia; Myida; Dreissenidae
Exons: 2
Source: RefSeq, a predicted model, not a curated record